AACACAUGCAAGUCGAGCGAUGAAGCACCUUCGAGUGUGAAUUAGCGGCGAACGGGUGAGGAACACGUGAGAAAUCUGCCUUCAACACUGGGAUAACGUCCGGGAAACCGGGCUAAUACCGGAUAUGAACCUGCGGGCAUCCGCGGGUUUGGAAAGUUUUUCGGUUGAAGAUGAUCUCGCGGCCUAUCAGCUUGUUGGUGAGGUAAUGGCUCACCAAGGCGACGACGGGUAGCCGGCCUGAGAGGGCGACCGGCCACACUGGGACUGAGACACGGCCCAGACUCCUACGGGAGGCAGCAGUGGGGAAUAUUGGGCAAUGGAGGAAACUCUGACCCAGCGACGCCGCGUGCGGGAUGAAGGCCUUCGGGUUGUAAACCGCUUUCAGCAGGGAGGAAGCGAAAGUGACGGUACCUGCAGAAGAAGCACCGGCUAACUAUGUG
This 440-nucleotide ribosomal RNA is filed under the name uncultured bacterium. RNAcentral describes it as "bacterial SSU rRNA". It matches the Rfam family "Bacterial small subunit ribosomal RNA", at positions 50 to 507 of the family's 1533-position model. The record is from RNAcentral.